This is a small nuclear RNA of Delphinapterus leucas (beluga whale), 104 nucleotides long. Lineage: Eukaryota; Metazoa; Chordata; Mammalia; Artiodactyla; Monodontidae. The record is from Ensembl.
GUGCUCGCUUCAGCAGCACAUGUACUAAAACUGGCACAACACAGAGAAGAUUAACAUGGCCCUGUGCAAGGAUGACGCAAAUUCGUGAGGUGUUCCAUGUUUUA